GACGAACGCUGGCGGCGUGCUUAACACAUGCAAGUCGAGCGGUAAGGCCCUUUCGGGGGUACGACGAGCGGCGAACGGGUGAGUAACACGUGGGUGACCUGCCCUCCAGCUCUGGGAUAAGCCUGGGAAACCGGGUCUAAUACUGGAUAUGACUCCAUGACGCAUGUUGUGGGGUGGAAAGCCUUGUGCGGCUGAGGAUGGGCCCGCGGCCUAUCAGCUUGUUGGUGGGGGG
Molecule: ribosomal RNA, 232 nt
Filed under: uncultured bacterium
Lineage: Bacteria
Description: partial 16S ribosomal RNA
Rfam family: Bacterial small subunit ribosomal RNA
Source: RNAcentral